AGAGUUUGAUUAUGGCUCAGGACGAACGCUGGCGGCAUGCCUAACACAUGCAAGUCGAACGGAGUAAUGACUUCGGUUAUUACUUAGUGGCGAACGGGUGAGUAACACGUGAAUAAUCUGCCCUGUACGAUGGGAUAACAGCUGGAAACGGCUGCUAAUACCGUAUAUGACCACGCCGAGGCAUCUCGGAGGGGUGAAAGCGCUUAAGCGGUACAGGAUGAGUUCGCGUCCAAUUAGCUAGUUGGUGAGGUAACGGCCCACCAAGGCGACGAUUGGUAGCCGACCUGAGAGGGUGAUCGGCCACACUGGAACUGAGACACGGUCCAGACUCCUACGGGAGGCAGCAGUGGGGAAUAUUGGGCAAUGGAGGAAACUCUUACCCAGACCAAUGCCGCGUGAGUGAUGAAGGUCUUCGGAUUAGUAAAGCUCUUUGAUUGGGGACGAAUAAAUGACGGUACCCAAGGAACAAGCCCCGGCUAACUAUGUGCCAGCAGCGGC
RNAcentral lists this ribosomal RNA (498 nucleotides) under uncultured bacterium. RNAcentral's name for it is "bacterial SSU rRNA". It matches the Rfam family "Bacterial small subunit ribosomal RNA", at positions 8 to 518 of the family's 1533-position model. The record is from RNAcentral.